Molecule: unclassified non-coding RNA, 488 nt
Filed under: Hevea brasiliensis (rubber tree)
Lineage: Eukaryota; Viridiplantae; Streptophyta; Magnoliopsida; Malpighiales; Euphorbiaceae
Source: RNAcentral
AGAGUAGAUCGAAAAAACUGAAAUGCUACGAAAGCUGUAACACUCAACGUUUGGUAUAGAAGGUGUAUCUUGAAGAACCCAAGCUAUUAAAGAAUCGUAAAUAACAAUUACUCUUCUGUAAUUUCUGGAGAGUUCUUGUAAAAGGGAAGUAAUCGGGUGACGAAGAUGAAUCGUGGCGUGGAAAGACGGCAUCAAUUGGGAAGGGAAUUUGGUGGUGGAAUUUGGAUUAGGAAGAGGGGUUUCGUAAUUUGGGAUUGGGAGUUCGUGGAAUUUGACGGUGGAGGUGGAGACUGGGUUCCAGCCAUGGAUACGAUUUUUUGCUUGACGGAGGUGUACGGCUGCUCCGGCGAAGUGGAGUGGGAGGUUAUAGGCGGAGAUGAGGCGGGAGAGGUGGAGGAGUUGGUUUAAAUGGCCUUGUGCUGGUAGUGGAAUCAUUACUAUGGCAACUUCAUGAUUGGUGAGUUUCGCCAUGGAAGAACAAAGCUUUU